Molecule: unclassified non-coding RNA, 317 nt
Filed under: uncultured Mucorales
Lineage: Eukaryota; Fungi; Mucoromycota; Mucoromycetes; Mucorales
Description: sequence contains 5.8S rRNA gene, ITS2, 28S rRNA gene
Source: RNAcentral
AACGCAUCUUGCACCGUCAUGGUAUUCCAUACGGUACGCCUGUUUCAGUAUCAUAAGAUACCACUACUACGACAUGCUUGGUCGUAGGCACUUGGUACCGAAAAAGUUCAUACAAAAAAAUGAACUUUGUACCAAAAUCCAGAGCCAACCGAUGGAUUUGAUACGGUUAAUGCCAAUUUAACUACCUAGUACUCUGUACUAGUAGUGGCAUGCCUAGAAUCCUUGGUGCUUUUGUAUGGACUUGUAGUGAGUUCAUACAAAACCUCUUUAUUUUUCAUACUGAUCUGAAAUCAGGUGGGAUUACCCGCUGAACUUAA